AUGCCGGGCUAUGCAGGUGAUGACGAUGAAACGAUGAGGCUACGAGCGGAGAGAGGAGCAAGGGCUGGAGGAUGGAGUCUAGAAAUAAGCAGGAAGAGGGCACUUGAAGAAGCUUUUGGAAGCAUGUGGGUUUGUUGAAGGCAUAUUGCCUAUUUAAGAUGUUAAGAUAAUUUCAAAACUCUGUAGGCCAUGGAAAUUCCAUUGUAUCACACCAGCUAUUCACAUGGUUAUUCUGAUGUAAAUGGUGUAUAAUGUAAGAUUUGUUACAUUUUUGUUUGGUCAUCCAUAUUAAAUUUCAUAACUGGAUGUUUUAGCUCAUAUUUUUUAUAUUAUAACUUUUUUCCUGAA
RNAcentral lists this long non-coding RNA (348 nucleotides) under Lotus japonicus. Its description in RNAcentral is "long non-coding RNA (LJAP_LNC000474)". Lineage: Eukaryota; Viridiplantae; Streptophyta; Magnoliopsida; Fabales; Fabaceae. The record is from RNAcentral.